Betta splendens (Siamese fighting fish) is the source of this 4484-nucleotide RNA transcript. It is a transcript of the gene named FERM domain containing 4Ba, with no coding region annotated. The record is from RefSeq and is a predicted model, not a curated record. Lineage: Eukaryota; Metazoa; Chordata; Actinopteri; Anabantiformes; Osphronemidae. The transcript has 25 exons.
AUAAUAGACGGUGUGUGUGCUGGAGUGUGGAUGCUCCUUUCAGCUUGUUGCUCUGGAUCAAAACAACUUGACCCGCGGACCAUCUCCCGUCGGGCACCGUCGGUCCAAGCAGAGAGUGUCCGGCAGCUAAUAUGGCCGUGCGCAUCAUACGUGGGAUGGAGGACCUGGUGGCGUCGAGCAGCCAGCUCAUCUGGAGCCUGGCACAUCAGACCCUGAGGAGGUGGUGCCAUCGUGGGCUGAUGCCCGGCAGACGCUUCCUUGAAGCCUGGUUUAGGAUUGGAAAGUGCUACCAGAUGACAGAAGGUCGUCUGUGCCAGGUCCACCUCCUUGAUGGCAGAAAUCUGGAGCUGCUGGUUCAGCCCAAGUUGUUGUCCCGCGAGCUGUUAGAUUUGGUGGCGUCACACUUUAAUCUGAAGGAGAAAGAAUAUUUUGGAUUGUGUUUCAUAGAUGACACUGGUCAGAAUAACUGGCUCCAGCUGGAUCGUAAAGUCCUUGAUCAUGACUUCUCUAAGACCUUGGGGCCUUUGGAUCUCAAGUUCCUUGUGAGGUUUUAUAUUGAGAAGAUCACCUACUUGAAAGAGAACACGACAGUGGAGCUGUUUUACCUGAACGCUAAAUCUUUAGUGUUUAAUGAGACCAUCGAAGUGGAGAGUGGACAUGUUUUCAAGUUAGCCGCAUUCGCACUGCAGGAAGCCAAGGGAGAUUACACCAGUGGUGUAACUGCCAGAUCAGACCUAAAGGAGCUCCCGGUUUUUCCCAUCAGAGUUUUAAGAGAGCAUCCGUCUCUCAAUUACUGUGAGGACAAAGUGAUCGAACAUUACAAGAAACUAAAAGGACUGACCAGAGGGCAAACCAUUGUGCAGUAUCUUGCUCUGGUGGAGUCACUGCCGACAUAUGGAGUCCAUUAUUACCCAGUGAAGGACAAGCAGGGAAUACCGUGGUGGCUGGGAGUCAGCUACAAAGGCAUUGGUCAGUACGAUUUGCAGGAUAAGCUGAAACCAAGAAAGUUGUUUCAUUGGAAGCAGUUGGAGAAUUUGUAUUUCCGUGAGAAGAAAUUUGCAGUGGAAGUGAACGACCCACACAGAAAAGCAGUAACCAAACGAACUUUCGGACAGACUGGCCUGGUUAUUCACACAUGGUAUGCCAGCCAUUCUCUGAUUAAAACCAUCUGGGCAAUGGCAAUCAGCCAGCACCAGUUCUACCUGGACAGAAAGCAAAGCAAGCUAAAGAUGACCACAACCAGGAGUUCAGGAGACAUUGCCAUGGACCUCACAGAGAUUGGCACCUCAAGAAUCAGCAAACUCUCCAGCAUUGGGAGCAGAGAUCAGCUGAUCAUGGCCAGCAAUGGAAGCCUCAUCUCAGCUGGGUCUGCUGACUCAGUGUCAGAAGUUAGUGAGGAACAAAAAAAAGAGAAGAUUGCUGAGUUGAAACAGAAAGAAAAGAAACUUCAAGAUACACUAACUCAGAAACUUGAAGAACUAAAAAGGAUUUGCUUGAGAGAAGCUGAGCUUACAGGGAGUUUGCCUGAAGACUAUCCGCUGGCUCCGGGUGAGAAGGCUCCCCAAGUGCGACGACGCGUUGGAACAGCCUUCAAGCUAGACGAGCCUUUCCCCUACGAUGAGGAUCCCCAUAUGAGAAAUCUGGAGGGCCAGUAUGCUUUGCAGCAAAAGUUUGUGGAAGCUGCACACAAGUUGGCCUGUGAGGGCGACCUCUACAAAACAGUGAAGAAAAAGAGAAGAAACAACUAUGUGGACGCAGUAAGGAAGCUGAAGGAGAUUGAAAACGAGAUCAACAACUACAGCAUAACAAAAGGAAAGAAACCCACUCAGCGAGUGUCACUAAUCUUAGAUGAUGCCAACCCUUCAGACAUCAGUUCUCUGUCUGACAGUCUCACUCUGGACGAUGAUGACGAGGUUGUUUCCCAGAAGCAUCAGUCCAGAUCGGUGCAGUAUUCUCCACACCAUGUAGAAACUCUGGACAUUCACUACAAAGACAGACGGGUCCCUGCCAAUGAACAAAUUACUGAUGGCAGAAUAAUGAAGGGCCAGCCUCAUGAAACGAUCCACUACAGUCAUCAUAAUGCCUUCACAAGCCAUACAAGUCCAUUUAAAUCAGCUUCCAGGCAGCCGUGGGACGCCCGCAGCAUGCCUCCUACUCCCUGCCUUCCCCGCAAUGCUCACAGCAGCACUCAGCUCAAAUCUGAGGAUGUCCCACAACAUUUCCGCCAGCGUAGUGGGAGUCUGGAGUCCCACUCUCAGUUCUUAACGGAGCCUGAGCCCCACAAGCAAGCAUUCGCCUUCUCCACAGCCCGACGCAGCAACAGCACUGAGAUCCUGGAUGACGGCUCUUCUUACACCAGCCAUUCCAGUGUGGAGUACGCCGUCCCCAUGGGCGUCCACCACACCCCCAGACAUAGAGUACGCGGUCGCAACAGGAAAGACAUGUACGCCAAUGCGGGCAGCAUGCCCAAUCUGGCUCAACCAGACACCCACUGCUACGCCGGCUACCAGCCUUCUGCCAGGCACACCACAGCCUACUGUGUCAUGGGAUACCCCAGCUACGUAGAACCAGAGGCCUACUCCAACGGAGCCUACAUGUACGAGGGCGAGAUAGAGGGACACUAUAACGUCAAUCCUUCCUACCACCCAACUCAAAGAACGUAUCACAGCCAAAACAUGCAAGGUCAGUACUAUAAUGACGAGGUCGACGGCAUGACACAAAACCUGUACGCUACAUUACGGACAGCCCGGAACCGUCCACAGCGGAGUAACGAACAAGUCAGCAGGAACAUCCCGAAGGCUUCAGUGGCUGACCAAUUAAUAGACUGGUACCAGCGCAAGCAGACCACAUACAACUACGGCAGAGGCUCCCAGCAGAGCUUGGCGUUUAAGACCAUGCCUGCACCCUACAGCCACAACAACAGAAACAUCUCCUUCUCAUCAAUGUCCUCGGUGUCCUCCACGUCUAACUGGCACAGCCACAUGAGUGGUGGUACGUUGGACUACGACAUGCCCUCGCAUGCGCUUCAGUCGUACUCGUACAGCACAACCCCCUACAGCCACUCCGCCUACAGCAGAUUUGCUGCCCACCAGGGUUUAACGGGCCUCUGCCACAGCCCUGAUGACCAGGGACGUCAUGUCUGUGUCUCUGCUAGUUCUUACUCCUCAGCUCCUUCCUCCACCUCCUCCUUUCCUUCCUCCUCCUACUCCCCUGGCUGCCGGAUCAGGCAGGUGGCCUCCAGCCCUGCACAGCCACAGUCUUUCACAGGGCACAGGCUCAGUAAGGUGCCUUUUGCAAAAGAUUUCUCCCAGAGUUUGAGUCGCGGAGCUGUGAUAGGAUGCCGUGCCCUGCAGGGCUUUUAGAAAGGUGUGGUGCUGUUGCCUAUGGUUCUGACCAGGAAUAUUAACCCUUUCCCUCCAUUUAUCAAGUCAAAGCUCAAAGAACAAAGGAUCCCACAUAGACGUCAACCAAGUGGACUCUCAAAUCAGCAACCAAAUGCACACACGCUUGGACCCAGAGGACCAGAUACACUGGCACGAAGACUCUAAACCAGGAACAAUAGUGUAGCUGUGUCUGUCAUUGUGCUGUGAGAAUUGCACACCUUGACGAGUCGUCAUUGUGCCUUAGACUGCACUUACCUGUUUUUCUGUAGAGAGGGAUCCAAAGAAUGAAGGAACGUACUGUGAAAACCAGUGCAAAAACAAAAUGAAGUCUUCUUACUGUCCGUUCACAUAAACGCAGUUACUAAACCGAACCACAUCCCUCAUUUGUAUACAGUAAGUCAUGACUAAAGUCCACUGGAUCGUCUUUGUGGUAACUGAUGCACCAGGACCUGCUGUGUACAGUGUUGAAUAGUCAAAGGGAAUGCAGACCACUACUCCAGUGUAAUUCUGCAAAGACACACAUACUAAGGAAUAGGACAAGUCUCUGUAAGAUGAUACUGAGCUGUAAUGAACAAUGAUUCACCCUCCUGCUACACUGUAACCAUGAAGGAUCAGAUAAGAAACAUUGUCAAAAUGAAGGACUGGACUCCAAGGAGGUGGCUACUUCCUGGAACAUUCUGCAGUCACCAGGUCCAGUUGUAUUAUUGCUUCAAACUACUGUUUUACUUUGUGUUGUUUUUAUCAUAUACAAAGUAUUCUGUCUCACUGUCAGUAGUUGCUAUACAACUGAGCCAAAUACUUCUGUGUCUCACCUCUUUGAGUAUUACCCGAUCACUAAUUUUGAUAUUACUGCCACAGCUGAGAAAGAAAGUUUUUUUAUUUAACAUGGGUAUUUCAUCCAUGCUGGAAAUCAUGGACUGGUGCUCCCAAUUUCUUUCAGAGAAUGAAGCUGUAUGUAAAUGUUGGUAUUGUAAAUAAACUUUUUCUGUCUUUUUCUUUUGUAUUUGAAAGGCAUGUAAUAUAUAGUAAACAAUUGCUGUUAAGCUGGUUCUUAGAAAUUUGUAUAAAUGCAUUUGUUUGAAUAAAAAAACUGCAUUUGAA